Molecule: ribosomal RNA, 376 nt
Filed under: uncultured bacterium
Lineage: Bacteria
Description: bacterial SSU rRNA
Rfam family: Bacterial small subunit ribosomal RNA
Source: RNAcentral
UACAGAGGGUGCAAGCGUUGCUCGGAAUUAUUGGGCGUAAAGGGCAAGUAGGUGGUCUCGUUUGUCUGGGGUGAAAGCCUUGAGCUUAACUCAAGAAGUGCCCUAGAAACGGCGAGACUAGAGUCCUGGAGAGGGUUGUGGAAUUCCCGGUGUAGCGGUGAAAUGCGUAGAGAUCGGGAGGAACACCAGAGGCGAAAGCGGCAACCUGGACAGGUACUGACACUCAACUGCGAAAGCGUGGGGAGCAAACAGGAUUAGAUACCCUGGUAGUCCACGCUGUAAACGAUGGGUACUAGAUUUGGUGGGUCUUGACCCCCGCUGAGUCGGCGCUAACGCACUAAGUACCCCGCCUGGGAAGUACGGUCGCAAGACUAAA